AAAGUAGCGGCGGACGGUGAGUAACACGUAGGCAACCUGCCUGUAAGACUGGGAUAACUACCGGAAACGGUAGCUAAGACCGGAUAAGUGGUCUUCUCGCAUGAGAGGAUCAAGAAACACGGGGCAACCUGUGGCUUACAGAUGGGCCUGCGGCGCAUUAGCUAGUUGGUGGGGUAACGGCUCACCAAGGCGACGAUGCGUAGCCGACCUGAGAGGGUGAUCGGCCACACUGGGACUGAGACACGGCCCAGACUCCUACGGGAGGCAGCAGUAGGGAAUCUUCCGCAAUGGACGCAAGUCUGACGGAGCAACGCCGCGUGAGUGAUGAAGGUUUUCGGAUCGUAAAGNUAGNNUGUCGGNCA
This 362-nucleotide ribosomal RNA is filed under the name Bacillus sp. '14.2 MW-10'. Its description in RNAcentral is "bacterial SSU rRNA". It matches the Rfam family "Bacterial small subunit ribosomal RNA", at positions 89 to 445 of the family's 1533-position model. Lineage: Bacteria; Bacillati; Bacillota; Bacilli; Caryophanales; Bacillaceae. The record is from RNAcentral.